GAUGAAGAACGUAGCGAAAUGCGAUAAGUAAUGUGAAUUGCAGAAUUCAGUGAAUCAUCGAAUCUUUGAACGCAUCUUGCACUCCUUGGUAUUCCGAGGAGCAUGCCUGUUUGAGUGUCAUUAAAUUCUCAACUACACUGAUUUUUUUUGGUUGGUGUAGAUUGGAUUUGGGGGAAUUUUUUGCGGGCUUUGUAAAAUGAAGUCGGCUCCCCUGAAAUUAAUUAGUGGUACCUUAGUAGAACUGUCUACAGGUGUGAUAAUUAUCUACAUCCUAGACAUCUGCUGGAAUGCUGCUUUCUAAACCUUACUUGUAUUGACAAUCUUGACCUCAAAUCAGGUAGGACUACCCGCUGAACUUAAGCAUAUCAAUAAGCGGAGGA
Molecule: unclassified non-coding RNA, 380 nt
Filed under: soil metagenome
Description: partial contains 5.8S ribosomal RNA, internal transcribed spacer 2, and large subunit ribosomal RNA
Rfam family: 5.8S ribosomal RNA (bases 1-120)
Source: RNAcentral